CUUCAGCGCGCCCAGCCACACCGGACGGCCCUCCGGGCGGUCCUGUCCGUACGUCGCCAGCAGGGCCUGUGCCUC
Molecule: antisense RNA, 75 nt
Filed under: Streptomyces sp. PRh5
Lineage: Bacteria; Bacillati; Actinomycetota; Actinomycetes; Kitasatosporales; Streptomycetaceae
Description: ASpks sRNA
Rfam family: ASpks TB sRNA
Source: RNAcentral